Molecule: long non-coding RNA, 622 nt
Organism: Saccostrea echinata
Lineage: Eukaryota; Metazoa; Mollusca; Bivalvia; Ostreida; Ostreidae
Exons: 5
Source: RefSeq, a predicted model, not a curated record
GGAAAAAAGCCUUGUUACAAGGUUUGAGGGUCUCUGCUAGAAUCACGUGGACCCCAGUGUAACACAUCUAUGGAAAGAGAGAAAAUCUCAGCUCAAGGGUCAACAUGUCUUUAUUCCAAGAAAGAGUGUACAUAUGCCAGAAUCAUAUGGACCGCAGACUGGCCCUGGUGAUUCCGUUAAGAAAAAAGAGGAAAAAUCAGUGCUUGUGCUCAUUGGUCAUUGGACAAAGGGUGUAUGCCAGAAUUUUUUGAAGAACAGUCUGAAUCUGACAUGGAAAAAAUGAAGAAAAACAGCCUUCCUGUUUAUAAAUCUACAUUCUGACAAAGGAUCAUUUCCUUGAGAUAGGUGGAACCAACAGUCAAAUCCAGACACCUUUAAGAAAAGUAAAAAUCUGACUCAGGUAAAAAAAAAAUCAUUUACAGUUUUAUCAAUUAGUAAUUUUUACCUUAAUUAACUGGACAAAUCUCAUUUGACGAUAUACAGGUCAAGAAUGAAGAGUUUAAAGCCUAGUAGGGAUUUUGGUCAAUCAUAACAGGUAAUCUGCAGCCCCUAUUGGGAAUUUUACACUCAUAUGGAGACGCCACCACUUGCCAGUGGAAAGCUGCAAAUUCUGUCCUAUACU